This 301-nucleotide ribosomal RNA is filed under the name uncultured bacterium. RNAcentral describes it as "partial 16S ribosomal RNA". It matches the Rfam family "Bacterial small subunit ribosomal RNA", at positions 509 to 807 of the family's 1533-position model. The record is from RNAcentral.
CAGUAGCCACGGUAAUACGAAGGGGGCUAGCGUUGUUCGGAAUCACUGGGCGUAAAGGGUGCGUAGGCUGGUUCUUAAGUCAGGGGUGAAAUCCCGAGGCUCAACCUCGGAACUGCCUUUGAUACUGGGGAUCUUGAGUCCGGAAGAGGUGAGUGGAACUGCGAGUGUAGAGGUGAAAUUCGUAGAUAUUCGCAAGAACACCGGUGGCGAAGGCGGCCCACUGGUCCGGAACUGACGCUGAGGCACGACAGCGUGGGGAGCAAACAGGAUUAGAUACCCCCGUAGUCCCUGUCUCUUAUAC